UCAAGCUACUAAGGGCGUACGGUGGAUGCCUUGGCGCAGGACGGCGAUGAAGGACGUGGCAAGCUGCGAUAAGCCUCGGAUAGCCGCAAACAGGCUCCGACCCGAGGAUUUCCGAAUGGGGCAACCCGUCUAGGGUAAUCCUAGAUCACGCAAGGUGAAUACAUAGCCUUGCGUAGCCAACCCGGGGAAGUGAACCAUCUCAGUACCCGGAGGAAAAGAAAGCAAAUGCGACUCCCCUAGUAGCGGCGAGCGAACGGGGAUGAGCCCAAACCUCUUCUAUGUCAAGUCUGUCGACGUUGUAGAAGAGGGGUUGUAGGGCCGGACGUGACACUGGACAGCAGUGUCGGGAAGUUACAAAUCGAUCUCUUAGCCGAACAGUCUGGGACGGCUGGCGAUACAGGGUGAAAGCCCCGUAGGCGAAAAGAGUGAGACUUCCUUGUUCGGUUCCUGAGUACCGCGGGGCACGUGAAACCCUGCGGGAAUCUGGGAGGACCAUCUCCCAAGGCUAAGUACGUGCCUGCGACCGAUAGUGAACCAGUACCGUGAGGGAAAGGUGAAAAGAACCCCUAUAGGGGAGUGAAAUAGUACCUGAAACCGUGCGCUUACAAGCAGUUGGAGGGCGUUUCACCGGGGCAACCCGGUAAGCCUGACAGCGUGCCUUUUGCAUAAUGAGCCGGCUAGUUUUUCUCAGCGGCAAGGUUAAGCGUUAAGCGAGCCGUAGCGAAAGCAAGUCUGAAUAGGGCGAAUUAGUCGCUGGGAAAAGACGCGAAGCGAGGUGAUCUACCCAUGGCCAGGGUGAAAGUCGGGUAACACCGACCGGAGGCCCGAACCAGUGUUGGUUGAAAACAGCUUGGAUGAGCUGUGGGUAGGGGUGAAAGGCUAAUCAAACCUCGUGAUUGCCCGUUCUCUUCGAAAUAGCUUUAGGGCUAGCGUCAUGUCUAACUUCCGGGGGUAAAGUACUGAAUGGACUAGGGCCUUUACCGAGGUACCGAAUCCAAUCCAACUCUGAAUACCGGAAAGUUCAAUCAUGGCAGUCAGACAGUGGGGGCUAAGCUCCAUUGUCAAAAGGGAAACAGCCCAGACCGUCAGCUAAGGUCCCAAAGUGCCGUCUUAGUGGUAAAGGAUGUGGAUCCGCACAGACAACCAGGAGGUUGGCUUAGAAGCAGCCAUCCUUUAAAGAAAGCGUAAUAGCUCACUGGUCAAGNNACAAUUGGUAGAAGAGCGUUCCAUACUCGAUGAAGCCCGACCGACAAGGACGAGUGGAGGGUAUGGAAGAGACCCUGCCGGCACAAGUAGCGAUAAAACGUGUGAAAACCAUGUUCGCCGUAAACCUAAGGUUUCCUGAGCUAGGUCAAUCCGCUCAGGGUUAGUCGGGCCUAAGGCAAGGCCGAAAGGCGUAGCCGAUGGGAAACGGGUCAACAUUCCCGUACCGUCAUGCAACGAUAAAGACCGAUGGGGUGACGCAGAAGGGCAGAUCAGCCUACGAUUGGUUGUGUAGGUUCAAGUAUGUACGAAGGCUUCGUUGGUAAAUCCGUGAAGCUUUUUCCGAGAUACGAUGUCGAGAGCUUCGGCUCGCAAAGUGAUCGAUCCCAUGCUGCCAAGAAAAGCCUCUAAGGAGUUGUAGGGCGACCGUACCGCAAACCGACACAGGUAGGUGAGGAGAAAAUCCUAAGGCGCUAGUGAGAAUUCUCGUUUAGGAACUAGGCACAUUAACCCCGUAACUUCGGGAGAAGGGGUGCUUCUUUGGGUCAGGAGACUUGCUUUCCAAAGCCCAAGGGAGUCGCAGCGAAUCGGCUCAGGCGACUGUUUACUAAAAACACAGGGCUCUGCAAAGUCAUAAAAACGACGUAUAGGGUCUGACGCCUGCCCGGUGCCGGAAGGUUAAAGAGAGGGGUUAGGCGCAAGCCGAAGCUCUGAACUGAAGCCCCGGUAAACGGCGGCCGUAACUAUAACGGUCCUAAGGUAGCGAAAUUCCUUGUCGGGUAAGUUCCGACCUGCACGAAUGGCGUAACGAUCUGAGCGCUGUCUCAACGAGGAGCACUGCGAAUCUGUAGUACCGGUGAAGAUGCCGGUUUCCCGCAACUAGACGGAAAGACCCCGUGCACCUUUACUGCACCCUAGCCUUGAACUUGGGUGCGUUCUGCGCAGGAUAGGUGGGAGGCUUUGAACCCGGGAUUUUGGUCUCGGGGGAGCCAACGGUGAGAUACCACCCUUAACGCACUUAGGUUCUAACCUGCUCCCCUAUAUCGGGGAGAGAGACACGGCUAGGCGGGUAGUUUGACUGGGGCGGUCGCCUCCCAAAGAGUAACGGAGGCGCUCGAAGGUUCCCUCAGGCUGUUUGGAAAUCAGCCGGCGAGUGUAAAGGCACAAGGGAGCUUGACUGCGAGACCUACAAGUCAAGCAGGUGCGAAAGCAGGACUUAGUGAUCUGGUGGUUCCGCAUGGAAGGGCCAUCACUUAACGGAUAAAAGGUACGCCGGGGAUAACAGGCUGAUCUGGUCCAAGAGUUCACAUCGACGACCAGGUUUGGCACCUCGAUGUCGGCUCAUCGCAUCCUGGAGCUGUAGAAGGUUCCAAGGGUUGGGCUGUUCGCCCAUUAAAGCGGUACGUGAGCUGGGUUUAGAACGUCGCGAGACAGUUCGGUCCCUAUCUGUUGUGGGCGAAGGAGAUUUGAGGGGAGCUGUCCUUAGUACGAGAGGACCGGGAUGGACGAACCUCUAGUGCACCAGUUGUCACGCCAGUGGCAUCGCUGGGUAGCUACGUUCGGUAGGGAUAAACGCUGAAAGCAUCUAAGCGUGAAGCCCACCCCAAGAUGAGAUCUCCCGCAGGGUAACCUGCCUAAAGACCCCUGGAAGACUACCAGGUUGAUAGGCCCGAGGUGUAAGGAACGAGCGCAAGCACAGUUCUUUAGCUGACGGGUACUAAUCGGUCGUGAGGCUUGACCAU
This 2945-nucleotide ribosomal RNA is filed under the name groundwater metagenome. RNAcentral describes it as "bacterial LSU rRNA". It matches the Rfam family "Bacterial large subunit ribosomal RNA". The record is from RNAcentral.